RNAcentral lists this long non-coding RNA (1114 nucleotides) under Capra hircus (goat). RNAcentral describes it as "lncRNA (ENSCHIG00010021862.1)". Lineage: Eukaryota; Metazoa; Chordata; Mammalia; Artiodactyla; Bovidae. The record is from RNAcentral.
CCCAUGAAAUGGAAGCUUUAGGGUUUUCUUGUAAUGCCAACAUUCAUUCUUUCUUAUCAGCAACAUCCUGAGUGAACUUGACAAAGGCUGUAGAAUAAACUGAGUAACAAUGGAAACAAAUUGGCUGUCUUUCCACAUCUAGCAGAUAUAACAGAUGCUCCAGUGACACUGAUUCAGGUGUCAUUAAGCCACAUCUCUGAUGGUCGCCUUCUAGAAGCAUCUGAUACAGAGCCAUAACAAGCCUCCAUGUCAGUGAGUGGUGGGUGACGAUGCCAGAGAAUUUCAAGUUUGCUUUUAUAACUACAUCUAAAAUCAUUCACAAUGACAAUAGAAUCAAUCCAGUUUUAGGUUAAAUAAGACAAAAUCUUAAGGGCGAGACAUCCACUGAUCAAGUCAAUAAUGGCCCACUCUUUCCAAAGGAAAGAGCAGGCACUUAGGCAUUAUUGUUAUUUGUUUUUUACCUAUUUUCCUCUUUAGAUGUGAAAACGUGCUCCUCCAUUGAAAAUUCGUUUGUCCAAACUAACAUUUUCUUAAAAAGGAAAUCAUUUAUUUUGUUUCAUUAUCUUUGUAUUUGGAGGUUUAAUUUGGGAACCUUCUAACAUGAGGCUAACAUAAGUGUUUGAAUAAACUAUAAAUGUGAGACUUCUAAUUUUCUAAAGCUCGCAUGACAGUCCUAUAAGGACACCCAAAUGCCUGAAGCAUAAGCCCUUAGACAAAGGAAAGCACCUGAGGCAAGUAGAAAUGAAAUUCAAUAUUGUUAAAUGCAUUAUGUGCUAUAAAGAGUAAGGCCUUACUUGUUCCAGCCAAAAUUAGUUUAAACAUUAACAGAGCAGUUCAUUCUCUUCUGGUUAUACUGAACAUCAAAUAGCCUAAACUUUCUAUUUCUCUUUAAUGUUCUCCUUACUGGAGAAACAAAAGUGGUAGACUAAUAUAAUAAUUAUAUGUAAUUAUUUUUGCAUGAGAACUUUUGAAAUGGCCCGGCAAUGUGUGUAGGCUCCAGUUGCACAAUCUGAGAGGGUGAAAAACCUCAGGUCUUCUCCUAGUGCACUGUUGUGGUCCAGCAGCUGGAAAAAGACAAAUGUACAGUCUUCUAUAAUACCCAUUAUCAAGGGCA